This 595-nucleotide ribosomal RNA is filed under the name Pteroptyx tener. RNAcentral describes it as "partial large subunit ribosomal RNA". It matches the Rfam family "Bacterial large subunit ribosomal RNA", at positions 1797 to 2665 of the family's 2925-position model. The record is from RNAcentral. Lineage: Eukaryota; Metazoa; Arthropoda; Insecta; Coleoptera; Lampyridae.
CGCCUGUUUUAUUAAAAACAUGUCUUUUUGAUUAUAAUUUAAGGUUUAAUCUGCUCAAUGAUUAUUUAAAUUGCCGCAGUAUUUUGACUGUGCAAAGGUAGCAUAAUAAUUAGUUUCUUUAUUGGGAACUGGAAUGAAUGAUUGGACGAGAAAAUUUCUGUCUCUUUAUUAUUUUAAUUGAAUUUUACUUUUAAGUUAAAAGGCUUAAAUUUUAUUAGAGGACGAGAAGACCCUAUAGAGUUUAAUUUUUAUUUAAAUAAUUAUUUUUAGUAUUUAUAUAUAUAUAUUAUUUAAAUAAAAAUUUAGUUGGGGUGACUAAAAGAUAAGAAUAACUCUUUUAAUUUUUAUCAAUUAUUUUUGAUUAUAAAAUCUUUAUUUUUAAUUUUAAAAUAAAUUACCUUAGGGAUAACAGCGUAAUUCUUUUUUAAAGUUCUUAUUAAAAGAAGAGUUUGCGACCUCGAUGUUGGAUUAAAAUUAAUUUUAGGUGUAGAAGCUUGAAAAUUAAGUCUGUUCGACUUUUAAAAUUUUACAUGAUCUGAGUUUAAACCGGUGUGAGCCAGGUUGGUUUCUAUCCUUAAUUAUAUAUUAUACUUUA